RNAcentral lists this ribosomal RNA (253 nucleotides) under uncultured bacterium. RNAcentral describes it as "partial 16S ribosomal RNA". It matches the Rfam family "Bacterial small subunit ribosomal RNA", at positions 524 to 776 of the family's 1533-position model. The record is from RNAcentral.
UACGUAGGGUGCGAGCGUUGUCCGGAAUUAUUGGGCGUAAAGAGCUCGUAGGCGGUCUGUCGCGUCUGCUGUGAAAGCCCGGGGCUUAACCCCGGGUCUGCAUUCGAUACGGGCAGGCUAGAGUGUGGUAGGGGAGAUCGGAAUUCCUGGUGUAGCGGUGAAAUGCGCAGAUAUCAGGAGGAACACCGGUGGCGAAGGCGGAUCUCUGGGCCGAUACUGACGCUGAGGAGCGAAAGCGUGGGGAGCGAACAGG